This 183-nucleotide ribosomal RNA is filed under the name Triticum aestivum (bread wheat). Its description in RNAcentral is "partial small subunit ribosomal RNA". Lineage: Eukaryota; Viridiplantae; Streptophyta; Magnoliopsida; Poales; Poaceae. The record is from RNAcentral.
UCCCAUAACUUCCAAUUACGAGUACGAUAAUUGAAAGACAUGAAAUUUCUCAGUUCUCUAUGGCAUCUAGUAGAUAGAUAGAUUAUUUUUAGGAACAAGAAAAUCAGAAGAAUCUUUCUCUCUAUUCACUAUCAUUCCACAUCUUUCACUUCUAUUUGUUUCUUUUUCUUUUCUUUAAUGUAA